Non-coding RNA from Triticum urartu, 169 nucleotides. NCBI's taxonomy places the organism in Eukaryota, Viridiplantae, Streptophyta, Magnoliopsida, Poales, Poaceae. The record is from RefSeq and is a predicted model, not a curated record.
GCAUAAAGGAGGUAACUCGGGGGUGUUAGAGUUAUAAUAUAAGUCAUGUACCCCUUUGUAUUUAUCCUGUUGUAUAAGGGGUUUCCUGCAUAUGUUCCACACCUGUACAUGUAUAUAUAUCGGCCUAUGGCCUCAUGGGAAUACAAGUUGCAUAUUUCCUAACACAGAC